This 103-nucleotide microRNA precursor is filed under the name Marmota monax (woodchuck). The record is from RNAcentral. Lineage: Eukaryota; Metazoa; Chordata; Mammalia; Rodentia; Sciuridae.
AGUGGGAUAGCUGGGUCAAAUGGUGGUUCCAUUCCAAGUUUUCUGAGGAAUCUUCAUACUGCUUUCCAGAGUGGUUGCAUCAAUUUGCAAUCCUAUCAGUAAU